Molecule: ribosomal RNA, 550 nt
Filed under: uncultured bacterium
Lineage: Bacteria
Description: bacterial SSU rRNA
Rfam family: Bacterial small subunit ribosomal RNA
Source: RNAcentral
UGGGUGCUANCAUCCAGUUUANANGAGGCCGGUAGCAUACGAGCCGAGCGGCNAACGGGUGAGUACGCGUGGAUAACCUGCCCUGAGGUGGGGAAUAACCCGGGGAAAACUCGGGCUAAUACCGCAUGAAACCGAGAGGUCAAAGAGGGGAGCAAUCCUCUUGCCGCAGGAGGGGUCCGCGUUCGAUUAGCUAGUUGGUAGGGUAAUGGCCUACCAAGGCGACGAUCGAUAGCCGGCCUGAGAGGGUGAUCGGCCACACUGGAACUGAGACACGGUCCAGACUCCUACGGGAGGCAGCAGUGGGGAAUUUUGCGCAAUGGGCUAACGCCUGACGCAGCAACGCCGCGUGGAGGAUGAAGGUCUUUGGAUUGUAAACUCCUGUCAGCAGGGAAAAAGCGACUUGACCUAAUACGUCAGGGCACGUUGAUAUGUACCUGCAGAGGAAGCCCCGGUAACUCUGUGCCAGCAGCCGAGGUAAUACAAGAGGGGCAANCGUUAUUNCGGAAUUACUUCGGGCCGUAAAAGGGCCGCGUAAGCGGCUUUCAAGUGA